This 92-nucleotide transfer RNA is filed under the name miscellaneous Crenarchaeota group archaeon SMTZ-80. Its description in RNAcentral is "tRNA-Pro". It matches the Rfam family "tRNA". From Rfam's summary of the family: Transfer RNA (tRNA) molecules are approximately 80 nucleotides in length. Their secondary structure includes four short double-helical elements and three loops (D, anti-codon, and T loops). The record is from RNAcentral. Lineage: Archaea; Thermoproteati; Candidatus Bathyarchaeota.
GCGGUGGUCCAGUUUGGUCUAAGAUCCCGGUCUCGGGAGCCGGAGAUCGCGGGUUCAAAAUAGUUUUACCUAUGAAAUUCCCGCCCGCCCCA